This is a non-coding RNA of Ictidomys tridecemlineatus (thirteen-lined ground squirrel), 1035 nucleotides long. NCBI's taxonomy places the organism in Eukaryota, Metazoa, Chordata, Mammalia, Rodentia, Sciuridae. The record is from RefSeq and is a predicted model, not a curated record.
UCACCCCAGAAGCCCCCUCUGAAUCAUGAGCUGGCUCUCUGAGAGAGUGUUGGCAGGACUGGGCAGAAGGCUGCCCGGACUUGCCAGCAUUUCUGACAGUGUGACCAAGAAUUAUUAGAAGAGCUACCAUAGCUGUAUGUCUCAUCACUUCCUUUAAAAAGUGUUGAGAUGACAACUCAAAGUGCUUCCACACAUGAGGCCCUGUCUGAGAGACACGAGAACCUAGAAGAAGACCUCCAACACAGGAACCCCCCCCGAACCCCACGCCAGUCUUGGGUGCUUGUCUGUGGGACCCUAGGCUUUCUGCUUCUUUUAACUUGAAAUGAAAGAUGGACGAAGACUGUGCAUUGGUGAACUUUCUGUUUUGAAGUAAUACUCUACAUGUCAGAGGCCUAUUAUGUAACUAUUCAAAGGGAUUGCUGUCCAAGUAACCAUCUCUUUCGUUCAAGGAACAGCCAAACAACUUCAGCAAGAGAAGAACAAGGUAACAUAGCUGUGUUUGCAAGAGACAUUAAAAUAUCAAGUACGAAAAGCACGAAGCGGGACAGACAGUGUUUCCCAUUCCUCUUCCCAAACAAAGGAAGAAUAUUUUGAGAGGCCUGUAACCUUUGGCUGACACCCAGCGAGGCCAUUAGUUUAGGCAUGGGAUGCACUACAAAACACACGAGAAUCAACAGAACUUCUUUUCUGGAAAGUUGAUUGUAAGAAUAGUUUUGUUAUAAAGAUUUCAAAAACAGAUGGAAUGGACAAAGGGGAAUAAAAAGAGACAAGCGUAAGAAAACUUAUCGACUUCCGUUGGUUGGCAUAGCUUCAGCUCCUAGUGUCUCUUCAGCCAUAUGCUCAAGAUGGAAACCGCAGUUCACAUCUAAAUGUCAUGCUGCCCUCUGUUCCAUAAACAUGUAUCAUCCAUCACUAAAUAUUUAGAUCUGAAUUGUUGGAGCUGAGCUCUGUGCCAGGGGUAGGGGGAUUAAUUCCUUUCAAGGUCCUCACAUGAUGGAUUUUCCACUGAAGUAAACAUCCGAGAAGAGCUCACAC